AGCAGAUGGUGGCUUUUUCUCACAAUGGUCUGUGAAUGCCACUGUGGGCAGUGCUGAUAAUGCCCAUGGAAAUGAAAAAAA
Balaenoptera musculus (blue whale) is the source of this 81-nucleotide small nucleolar RNA. The record is from Ensembl. NCBI's taxonomy places the organism in Eukaryota, Metazoa, Chordata, Mammalia, Artiodactyla, Balaenopteridae.